Molecule: ribosomal RNA, 2902 nt
Filed under: Klebsiella pneumoniae
Lineage: Bacteria; Pseudomonadati; Pseudomonadota; Gammaproteobacteria; Enterobacterales; Enterobacteriaceae
Description: 23S ribosomal RNA
Rfam family: Bacterial large subunit ribosomal RNA
Source: RNAcentral
GGUUAAGCGACUAAGCGUACACGGUGGAUGCCCUGGCAGUCAGAGGCGAUGAAGGACGUGCUAAUCUGCGAAAAGCGUCGGUAAGGUGAUAUGAACCGUUACAGCCGGCGAUGUCCGAAUGGGGAAACCCAGUGUGAUUCGUCACACUAUCGUUAACUGAAUACAUAGGUUAACGAGGCGAACCGGGGGAACUGAAACAUCUAAGUACCCCGAGGAAAAGAAAUCAACCGAGAUUCCCCCAGUAGCGGCGAGCGAACGGGGAGCAGCCCAGAGUCUGAAUCAGCUUGUGUGUUAGUGGAACGGUCUGGAAAGUCCGACGGUACAGGGUGAUAGUCCCGUACACCAAAAUGCACAGGCUGUGAACUCGAAGAGUAGGGCGGGACACGUGGUAUCCUGUCUGAAUAUGGGGGGACCAUCCUCCAAGGCUAAAUACUCCUGACUGACCGAUAGUGAACCAGUACCGUGAGGGAAAGGCGAAAAGAACCCCGGCGAGGGGAGUGAAAAAGAACCUGAAACCGUGUACGUACAAGCAGUGGGAGCACCUUCGGGUGUGACUGCGUACCUUUUGUAUAAUGGGUCAGCGACUUAUAUUCUGUAGCAAGGUUAACCGUAUAGGGGAGCCGCAGGGAAACCGAGUCUUAACUGGGCGUUAAGUUGCAGGGUAUAGACCCGAAACCCGGUGAUCUAGCCAUGGGCAGGUUGAAGGUUGGGUAACACUAACUGGAGGACCGAACCGACUAAUGUUGAAAAAUUAGCGGAUGACUUGUGGCUGGGGGUGAAAGGCCAAUCAAACCGGGAGAUAGCUGGUUCUCCCCGAAAGCUAUUUAGGUAGCGCCUCGUGAAUUCAUCUUCGGGGGUAGAGCACUGUUUCGGCUAGGGGGUCAUCCCGACUUACCAACCCGAUGCAAACUACGAAUACCGAAGAAUGUUAUCACGGGAGACACACGGCGGGUGCUAACGUCCGUCGUGAAGAGGGAAACAACCCAGACCGCCAGCUAAGGUCCCAAAGUCAUGGUUAAGUGGGAAACGAUGUGGGAAGGCACAGACAGCCAGGAUGUUGGCUUAGAAGCAGCCAUCAUUUAAAGAAAGCGUAAUAGCUCACUGGUCGAGUCGGCCUGCGCGGAAGAUGUAACGGGGCUAAACCAUGCACCGAAGCUGCGGCAGCGACACUAUGUGUUGUUGGGUAGGGGAGCGUUCUGUAAGCCUGCGAAGGUGUGCUGUGAGGCAUGCUGGAGGUAUCAGAAGUGCGAAUGCUGACAUAAGUAACGAUAAAGCGGGUGAAAAGCCCGCUCGCCGGAAGACCAAGGGUUCCUGUCCAACGUUAAUCGGGGCAGGGUGAGUCGACCCCUAAGGCGAGGCCGAAAGGCGUAGUCGAUGGGAAACAGGUUAAUAUUCCUGUACUUGGUGUUACUGCGAAGGGGGGACGGAGAAGGCUAUGUUAGCCGGGCGACGGUUGUCCCGGUUUAAGCAUGUAGGCUGAUUAUCCAGGCAAAUCCGGAUAAUCAAGGCUGAGGUGUGAUGACGAGGCACUACGGUGCUGAAGUAACAAAUGCCCUGCUUCCAGGAAAAGCCUCUAAGCAUCAGGUAACAUCAAAUCGUACCCCAAACCGACACAGGUGGUCAGGUAGAGAAUACCAAGGCGCUUGAGAGAACUCGGGUGAAGGAACUAGGCAAAAUGGUGCCGUAACUUCGGGAGAAGGCACGCUGGUGUGUAGGUGAAGUCCCUGCGGAUGGAGCUGAGACCAGUCGAAGAUACCAGCUGGCUGCAACUGUUUAUUAAAAACACAGCACUGUGCAAACACGAAAGUGGACGUAUACGGUGUGACGCCUGCCCGGUGCCGGAAGGUUAAUUGAUGGGGUUAUCCGUAAGGAGAAGCUCUUGAUCGAAGCCCCGGUAAACGGCGGCCGUAACUAUAACGGUCCUAAGGUAGCGAAAUUCCUUGUCGGGUAAGUUCCGACCUGCACGAAUGGCGUAAUGAUGGCCAGGCUGUCUCCACCCGAGACUCAGUGAAAUUGAACUCGCUGUGAAGAUGCAGUGUACCCGCGGCAAGACGGAAAGACCCCGUGAACCUUUACUAUAGCUUGACACUGAACAUUGAGCCUUGAUGUGUAGGAUAGGUGGGAGGCUUUGAAGCGUGGACGCCAGUCUGCGUGGAGCCAACCUUGAAAUACCACCCUUUAAUGUUUGAUGUUCUAACGUUGGCCCCUGACCGGGGUUGCGGACAGUGUCUGGUGGGUAGUUUGACUGGGGCGGUCUCCUCCCAAAGCGUAACGGAGGAGCACGAAGGUUAGCUAAUCCUGGUCGGACAUCAGGAGGUUAGUGCAAUGGCAUAAGCUAGCUUGACUGCGAGCGUGACGGCGCGAGCAGGUGCGAAAGCAGGUCAUAGUGAUCCGGUGGUUCUGAAUGGAAGGGCCAUCGCUCAACGGAUAAAAGGUACUCCGGGGAUAACAGGCUGAUACCGCCCAAGAGUUCAUAUCGACGGCGGUGUUUGGCACCUCGAUGUCGGCUCAUCACAUCCUGGGGCUGAAGUAGGUCCCAAGGGUAUGGCUGUUCGCCAUUUAAAGUGGUACGCGAGCUGGGUUUAGAACGUCGUGAGACAGUUCGGUCCCUAUCUGCCGUGGGCGCUGGAGAAUUGAGGGGGGCUGCUCCUAGUACGAGAGGACCGGAGUGGACGCAUCACUGGUGUUCGGGUUGUCAUGCCAAUGGCACUGCCCGGUAGCUAAAUGCGGAAGAGAUAAGUGCUGAAAGCAUCUAAGCACGAAACUUGCCCCGAGAUGAGUUCUCCCUGAGACUUUAAGUCUCCUGAAGGAACGUUAAAGACGAUGACGUUGAUAGGCCGGGUGUGUAAGCGCAGCGAUGCGUUGAGCUAACCGGUACUAAUGAACCGUGAGGCUUAACCUU